GUCCAGACUCCUACGGGAGGCAGCAGUGAGGAAUAUUGGUCAAUGGGCGGGAGCCUGAACCAGCCAAGUCGCGUGAGGGAAGACGGUCCUAUGGAUUGUAAACCUCUUUAGGCGGGGAGCAAUGCCGGGCACGCGUGCCCGGAGGGAGAGUACCCGCAGAAUAAGCAUCGGCUAACUCCGUGCCAGCAGCCGCGGUAAUACGGAGGAUGCGAGCGUUAUCCGGAUUUAUUGGGUUUAAAGGGUGCGCAGGCGGUCUGUUAAGUCAGCGGUCAAAGCCGGGGGCUCAACCCCGGUCCGCCGUUGAAACUGGCAGUCUCGAGUUGGAGAGAAGUAUGCGGAAUGCGCGGUGUAGCGGUGAAAUGCAUAGAUAUCGCGCAGAACUCCGAUUGCGAAGGCAGCAUGCCGGCUCCACACUGACGCUGAGGCACGAAAGCGUGGGUAUCGAACAGGAUUAGAUACCCCCGUAU
This 467-nucleotide ribosomal RNA is filed under the name uncultured bacterium. RNAcentral describes it as "bacterial SSU rRNA". It matches the Rfam family "Bacterial small subunit ribosomal RNA", at positions 329 to 793 of the family's 1533-position model. The record is from RNAcentral.